This 73-nucleotide transfer RNA is filed under the name Thermoplasmatota archaeon. RNAcentral's name for it is "Candidatus Thermoplasmatota archaeon (groundwater metagenome) tRNA-Gln". It matches the Rfam family "tRNA". Rfam says of the family: Transfer RNA (tRNA) molecules are approximately 80 nucleotides in length. Their secondary structure includes four short double-helical elements and three loops (D, anti-codon, and T loops). Further hydrogen bonds mediate the characteristic L-shaped molecular structure. tRNAs have two regions of fundamental functional importance: the anti-codon, which is responsible for specific mRNA codon recognition, and the 3' end, to which the tRNAs corresponding amino acid is attached (by aminoacyl-tRNA synthetases). tRNAs cope with the degeneracy of the genetic code in two manners: having more than one tRNA (with a specific anti-codon) for a particular amino acid; and 'wobble' base-pairing, i.e. permitting non-standard base-pairing at the 3rd anti-codon position. Lineage: Archaea; Methanobacteriati; Thermoplasmatota. The record is from RNAcentral.
AGCCCCGUAGUGUAGUGGUCAAUCAUGAGGGAUUCUGGAUCCUUCGACACAGGUUCGAAUCCUGUCGGGGCUA